UACAGAGGGUGCAAGCGUUAAUCGGAAUUACUGGGCGUAAAGCGUGCGUAGACGGUUAUGUAAGUCGGGUGUGAAAGCCCCGGGCUCAACCUGGGAAUGCCAUUCGAGACUGCAUAGCUAGGGUGCGGAAGAGGGAAGCGGAAUUUCAGGUGUAGCGGUGAAAUGCGUAGAUAUCUGAAGGAACACCAGUGGCGAAAGCAGCUUCCUGGUCCAGCACCGACGUUCAGGCACGAAAGCGUGGGGAGCAAACAGG
This 253-nucleotide ribosomal RNA is filed under the name uncultured bacterium. Its description in RNAcentral is "partial 16S ribosomal RNA". It matches the Rfam family "Bacterial small subunit ribosomal RNA", at positions 524 to 776 of the family's 1533-position model. The record is from RNAcentral.